Molecule: RNA transcript, 662 nt
Organism: Mandrillus leucophaeus (drill)
Lineage: Eukaryota; Metazoa; Chordata; Mammalia; Primates; Cercopithecidae
Gene name: 60S ribosomal protein L19 pseudogene
Exons: 1
Source: RefSeq, a predicted model, not a curated record
GCCGCAGCCAUGAGAAUGCUCAGGCUUCAGAAGAGGCUCGCUGCUCGUGUCCUCCGCUGUGGGAAGAAGGAGGUCUGGUUGGACCCCAAGGAGACCAAUGAACUCGUCAAUGCCAACUCCCGUCAGCAGAUCCGGAAGCUGAUCAAAGAUGGGCUGAUCAUCCACAAGCCAGUGACUGUCCAUUCCCGGCUCAAGGCCAGAAAAGCACCUUGGCCCGCCGGAAGGGCAGGCACAUAGGCAUUGGUAAGCCAAAGGGUACAGCCAAUGCCCGAAUGCCAAGACGGUCACGUGGAUGAGGAGAAUGAGGAUCCUGCGCUGGCUGCUCAGGAGACACCGGGAAUCGAGGAAGAUUGAACACCACGUGGUUCACAGCCCGUACCUGAAGGAGCAGGGGAAUGUGUUCACAAACAAGCGGAUUCUCAUGGAACGCAGCCACAGGCUGAUGGCAGACAAGGCCCGCAAGAAGCUCCUGGCUGACCAGGCUGAGGCCCGCAGGUCUAAGACCAAGGAAGCACGCAAGCGCCGUGAAGAGCACCUGCAGGCCAAGAAGGAGGAGAUCUUCAUGACUUUGUCCAAGGAGGAAGACACCAAGCAAUAAAAGCUCCCCCUUUGUCUGUACAUACUGGCCUCUGUGAUUGCAUAGAUCAGCCAUUAAAAUAAAA